This 433-nucleotide ribosomal RNA is filed under the name uncultured bacterium. RNAcentral describes it as "partial 16S ribosomal RNA". It matches the Rfam family "Bacterial small subunit ribosomal RNA", at positions 29 to 507 of the family's 1533-position model. The record is from RNAcentral.
AACGAACGCUGGCGGCAUGCCUAACACAUGCAAGUCGAACGAGACCUUCGGGUCUAGUGGCGCACGGGUGCGUAACGCGUGGGAACCUGCCCUUAGGUUCGGAAUAACUCCCCGAAAGGGGUGCUAAUACCGGAGAAUGUCUUCGGACCAAAGAUUUAUCGCCGUUGGAUGGGCGCGCGUUGGUUUAGCUAGUUGGUAGGGUAAAAGCCUACCAAGGCGACGAUCCAUAGCUGGUCUGAGAGGAUGAUCAGCCACACUGGGACUGCGACACGGCCCAGUCUCCUACGGGAGGCAGCAGUGGGGAAUAUUGGACGAUGGGCGAAAGCCUGAUCCAGCAACGCCGGGUAAGUGAUGAAGGCCUUAGGGUUGUAAAGCUCUUUUACCCGGGAUGAUAAUGACAGUACCGGGAGAAUAAGCUCCGGCUAACUCCGUG